CCCUUAGAUGUUCUGGGCCGCACGCGCGCUACACUGAUUCAUGCAACAAGUUUUGUCCUUGGCUGAUAGGCCUGGGUAAUCUUUGAACGUGAAUCGUGAUGGGGAUAGAUGAUUGCAAUUAUUCAUCUUCAACGAGGAAUUCCUAGUAAACGCAAGUCAUCAGCUUGCAUUGAUUACGUCCCUGCCCUUUGUACACACCGCCCGUCACACCUACCGAUUGAAUGGUCCGGUGAAAUCUUCGGAUCUGAGAGAUGUCUGAUUAAUUUCGGACGCCUUUUGGAAAAGUUGCUUAAACCUUNCNAUUUAGNGGAAGGUGAANUCGUANCA
RNAcentral lists this ribosomal RNA (327 nucleotides) under uncultured eukaryote. RNAcentral's name for it is "partial 18S ribosomal RNA". It matches the Rfam family "Eukaryotic small subunit ribosomal RNA", at positions 1470 to 1796 of the family's 1831-position model. The record is from RNAcentral.